RNAcentral lists this ribosomal RNA (497 nucleotides) under uncultured bacterium. RNAcentral describes it as "partial 16S ribosomal RNA". It matches the Rfam family "Bacterial small subunit ribosomal RNA", at positions 28 to 507 of the family's 1533-position model. The record is from RNAcentral.
GAUGAACGCUGGCGGCGUGCCUAAUACAUGCAAGUCGAGCGAACAGAUGAGGAGCUUGCUCCUCUGACGUUAGCGGCGGACGGGUGAGUAACACGUGGAUAACCUACCUAUAAGACUGGGAUAACUUCGGGAAACCGGAGCUAAUACCGGAUAAUAUAUUGAACCGCAUGGUUCAAUAGUGAAAGACGGUUUUGCUGUCACUUAUAGAUGGAUCCGCGCCGCAUUAGCUAGUUGGUAAGGUAACGGCUUACCAAGGCAACGAUGCGUAGCCGACCUGAGAGGGUGAUCGGCCACACUGGAACUGAGACACGGCCCAGACUCCUACGGGAGGCAGCAGUAGGGAAUCUUCCGCAAUGGGCGAAAGCCUGACGGAGCAACACCGCGUGAGUGAUGAAGGUCUUCGGAUCGUAGAACGCUGUUAUUAGGGAAGAACAAAUGUGUAAGUAACUAUGCACGUCUUGACGGUACCUAAUCAGAAAGCCACGGCUAACUACGUG